Molecule: ribosomal RNA, 510 nt
Filed under: uncultured bacterium
Lineage: Bacteria
Description: bacterial SSU rRNA
Rfam family: Bacterial small subunit ribosomal RNA
Source: RNAcentral
UUCUGGCUCAGGAUGAACGCUAGCUACAGGCUUAACACAUGCAAGUCGAGGGGCAGCAUAGAGUUUGCUUGCAAACUCUGAUGGCGACCGGCGCACGGGUGAGUAACGCGUAUCCAACCUGCCCAUGGCUAGGGAAUAGCCCGUUGAAAGCGGAUUAAUGCCCUAUGGGGUCCUUUGCAGACAUCUAACGAGGACUAAGGUUUACCGGCCAUGGAUGGGGAUGGCGUCCGAUUAGGUAGUUGGCGGGGUAACGGCCCACCAAGCCAUCGAUCGGUAGGGGUUCUGAGAGGAAGGCCCCCACAUUGGAACUGAGACACGGUCCAAACUCCUACGGGAGGCAGCAGUGAGGAAUAUUGGUCAAUGGGCGGAAGCCUGAACCAGCCAAGUAGCGUGCAGGAUGACGGCCCUAUGGGUUGUAAACUGCUUUUAUGCGGGAAUAAAGAGGCUCACGUGUGGGCUGUUGCAUGUACCGCAUGAAUAAGGACCGGCUAAUUCCGUGCCAGCCGCCGC